AAAAAAGGUAAGCUACUAAGAGCGAAUGGUGGAUGCCUUGACUGGUAAAGGCGAUGAAGGACGUACUAGACUGCGAUAAGCUACGGGGAGCUGUCAAGAAGCUUUGAUCCGUAGAUUUCCGAAUGGGGCAACCCAAUGUAUAGAGAUAUACAUUACCUAUAUAGGAGCGAACGAGGGGAAUUGAAACAUCUUAGUACCCUCAGGAAAAGAAAUCAAUAGAGAUUGC
Molecule: ribosomal RNA, 226 nt
Filed under: Campylobacter jejuni
Lineage: Bacteria; Pseudomonadati; Campylobacterota; Epsilonproteobacteria; Campylobacterales; Campylobacteraceae
Description: partial 23S ribosomal RNA
Rfam family: Bacterial large subunit ribosomal RNA
Source: RNAcentral